GCGUAAGCGCACGCAGGCGGUCUGUCAAGUCGGAUGUGAAAUCCCCGGGCUCAACCUGGGAACUGCAUUCGAAACUGGCAGGCUAGAGUCUUGUAGAGGGGGGUAGAAUUCCAGGUGUAGCGGUGAAAUGCGUAGAGAUCUGGAGGAAUACCGGUGGCGAAGGCGGCCCCCUGGACAAAGACUGACGCUCAGGUGCGAAAGCGUGGGGAGCAAACAGGAUUAGAUACCCUGGUAGUCCACGCCGUAAACGAUGUCGAUUUGGAGGUUGUGCCCUUGAGGCGUGGCUUCCGGAGCUAACGCGUUAAAUCGACCGCCUGGGGAGUACGGCCGCAAGGAUAAAACUCAAAUGAAUUGACGGGGGCCCGCACAAGCGGUGGAGCAUGUGGUUUAAUUCGAUGCAACGCGAAGAACCUUACCUGGUCUUGACAUCCACAGAACUUUCCAGAGAUGGAUUGGUGCCUUCGGGAACUGUGAGACAGGUGCUGCAUGGCUGUCGUCAGCUCGUGUUGUGAA
Molecule: ribosomal RNA, 513 nt
Filed under: Klebsiella pneumoniae
Lineage: Bacteria; Pseudomonadati; Pseudomonadota; Gammaproteobacteria; Enterobacterales; Enterobacteriaceae
Description: bacterial SSU rRNA
Rfam family: Bacterial small subunit ribosomal RNA
Source: RNAcentral